GACGAACGCUGGCGGCGUGCUUAACACAUGCAAGUCGAACGGAAAGGCCCUUCUUGUGUGGGGUGCUCGAGUGGCGAACGGGUGAGUAACACGUGAGUAACCUGCCCUUGACUUUGGGAUAACGUCAGGAAACUGGGGCUAAUACCGGAUAGGAGCUCCUGCGUCAUGGUGGGGGUUGGAAAUUUUCGGCGGUUGGGGAUGGACUCGCGGCUUAUCAGCUUGUUGGUGGGGUAGUGGCUUACCAAGGCUUUGACGGGUAGCCGGCCUGAAGGGGGGACCGGCCACAUUGGGACUGAGAUACGGCCCGAACUCCUCCGGGAGGAAGCGGUGGGGAAUAUUGCACAAUGGGCGGAAGCCUGAUGCAGCAACGCCGCGUGCGGGAUGACGGCCUUCGGGUUGUAAACCGCUUUCGCCUGUGACGAAGCGUGAGUGACGGUAAUGGGUAAAGAAGCACCGGCUAACUACGUG
Molecule: ribosomal RNA, 468 nt
Filed under: uncultured bacterium
Lineage: Bacteria
Description: partial 16S ribosomal RNA
Rfam family: Bacterial small subunit ribosomal RNA
Source: RNAcentral